GUCUACAGCCAUGCUACCCUGAACGCACCCGAUCUUGUCUAAUCUCGAAGCUAAGCAGGGUCAGGCCAGGUUAGUCCUUAGAUGGAAGACCACCUAGGAAUACCGGGUGCUGUAGGUG
This 118-nucleotide ribosomal RNA is filed under the name Pteropus alecto (black flying fox). Lineage: Eukaryota; Metazoa; Chordata; Mammalia; Chiroptera; Pteropodidae. The record is from RNAcentral.